Ostrea edulis (European flat oyster) is the source of this 1910-nucleotide long non-coding RNA. RefSeq lists it as uncharacterized. The transcript has 2 exons. The record is from RefSeq and is a predicted model, not a curated record. NCBI's taxonomy places the organism in Eukaryota, Metazoa, Mollusca, Bivalvia, Ostreida, Ostreidae.
UGUUAUAAUUGUUUGUUUGUGCUUUAUAUUAAAUAUUCUAUACAAUUGCAUCGAGAGAUCCACUCUCCUUAUAAAAUAUCUUAAACACUGAAUGACACAGCGACUGUGUGGGAUUGCAUCAGUGUGUAUAAGUAGCGCUUUAGGAGCAUAACAAAGCUUCCUUUCUUAGGGAAGUCGUUGUGGCCGAGUGGACUUACGCACUGGUUUGACAAUCUUGCUAGGCGGUGGGUGCCGUACGUCGCUGGUUCGACCCCGGGCUGGGGCGAAAAUUUUCAGUACCUAGUUGUGAUUAUUUAGUGCUUUAUAUAUAUAUAUAUAUAUAUAUUCUUUCUGUUAAAUCGCUAUCUAUGCUGAAUACAUGUAUGAAAAAGUGAAGUGAAACUGUGAUCGAUCUCAUAAUUACUAUUUAAAAACAAGGAGCCCUGGACACACCAGUGGUGAGAUCUGGUUCCUAGGAGGAGUAAGUACCCCCUAUUGACCGGUCACAGUCGCCAUGUAUGUACAUGUAUCCAUAGAAAGCUCUUCCUCAGCACCAAGGUACAUGUAAGUAAAUGUUGAUCUGGGGUUACCGGUAUUUGGGAAACGGAGAGAACGGUCACGAGUUCCUUAUUGGAUGAAAGAAAGAAACAUUAUAAGCUGAUUCUUGGUCUAAAUGUUGCUUAAAGACAGACAAUGUGCCAAAAAUAUUUAAUCGGGCUUACUUGCAAUUGGCAGAGACAGUAACUUUAUAAUGGAGAGAGAAAAGUUCAUGCACCAGACAGGAUAUCACUUCCAGUAAAGUCUUAAGAAAAUAUAAUAAUUUCUUAAGAUGCGUAUCGAUUUAUCACAAGCAAAUAAUGACCGAGCUAUCAUUUUUCAUUAUUGUAAGUGUGCCUCUCCAAACCUGAAUUAUUGGUUGUCUGGCAUGUGACAGUUUGAAUACCGAAUUGCAAAUAAGGAAGUUUGAGAAUUUAAAAAAUAGAAAUGACAAUGACAGGGUGUCUUGGGGAGCGUUGGUUACCCAACACGUCCUUUACAUUUACACCUUUUAUUGUUCUUGAAUAAUUUACAAUUUUGCACCCUGAGAACAUCAAUAAAUACCUCUUUUCCCAUAGUCUAACAACUUUAAUCUGUUUAAAUUGAGCCCCGUUAUCACAAAAUCUAUCUAAACUGUCAGUACUAUCUUAUUAAAAUUUUAGACUAUGUCAUGUCUGCAUAAAUGAACAGCAAAUAACUUGUUGAAAUUUUUAUCAACAUUUUGAGAUACGAAAGUUCACAAUCAGCUGAAACGUUAAUUUCCUUGUUUAAAACUCUCCUUAUCAAUAUCUUUCAAAAUACUUGCAUAUAGUUUAUAAUAUUACUGCUUAACGUCACAGCAGUAUUUUCCUGCAAGUUUUCAUGCAUGAUCCAUCAAAUUCCUUUUUGUAAAACACACAAUGUAUUGUUAUUGAUGAAAAUUUACGUAUUUCUUUCUUAUCUUACUCCUUUUCUAUGUAAGAUUUUAAUAUACUGCACAGAAGUAUCUCUGGAAGUUAAAGUGAUAUCUCUAUUACAUUUUCUGAAGGAGAUACCUCUAACUUUAAAAGAUAUCUCUUUAACUUUGAGAGAUAUCUCGUAAAGUUAGAGAGACAUCUCUUUAAGUUAAAGAUAUAUCUAAGAGAUAUCUCUUUACCGAUGCAAAAGAGAUUUAUCUUAAAGUUAGAGAUAUCUUUUUCAGAAAAUGUAAUAGAGAUAUCUCUUUAAGUUAAAGACAUGACCUUAAUGAAUUGACUACAACGGUUACUCCCGUGUAUGACUUUCGCCUUUUGUAUGACGUAUUAGGGGUGCACAUGAUCUAAAAAGCUGAAUAUGUAGAGGAGGUUCUCUCUACCGUGUUGAACAGUAGAUCUAGUAUAUGUGUUGUACAAAGUAAAUAAAUGAUAAUAUAUAUG